Molecule: small nuclear RNA, 158 nt
Filed under: Copidosoma floridanum
Lineage: Eukaryota; Metazoa; Arthropoda; Insecta; Hymenoptera; Encyrtidae
Description: U1 spliceosomal RNA
Rfam family: U1 spliceosomal RNA
About the family: U1 is a small nuclear RNA (snRNA) component of the spliceosome (involved in pre-mRNA splicing). Its 5' end forms complementary base pairs with the 5' splice junction, thus defining the 5' donor site of an intron.
Source: RNAcentral
AUGGUUUAUGACGUAGAGAUAACCGUGAUCAACAAGGCGGUUUCUCCAGGGCGAAGCCUGUCCAUUGCACUACGGACGGGUUGAUCCUUGAGAAUAUCCCUAAUGUGGAUAUCUCGGACGUAUUAUUUUUGGUAGCCCGGUAAGGUAAAAUCACCGCU